AGCGAACGCUGGCGGCAGGCCUAACACAUGCAAGUCGAGCGCACCCUUCGGGGCGAGCAGCGGACGGGUUAGUAACGCGUGGGAAUGUACCCUUUUCUACGGAAUAGCCAUUGGAAACGAUGAGUAAUACCGUAUACGCCCUUUGGGGGAAAGAUUUAUCGGAGAAGGAUCAGCCCGCGUUAGAUUAGAUAGUUGGUGGGGUAAUGGCCUACCAAGUCUACGAUCUAUAGCUGGUUUUAGAGGAUGAUCAGCAACACUGGGACUGAGACACGGCCCAGACUCCUACGGGAGGCAGCAGUGGGGAAUCUUAGACAAUGGGCGCAAGCCUGAUCUAGCCAUGCCGCGUGAGUGAAGAAGGCCUUAGGGUCGUAAAGCUCUUUCGCCAGGGAUGAUAAUGACAGUACCUGGUAAAGAGACCCCGGCUAACUCCGUGCCAGCAGCCGCGGUAAUACGGAGGGGGUUAGCGUUGUUCGGAAUUACUGGGCGUAAAGCGCACGUAGGCGGAUUAGAAAGUAUGGGGUGAAAUCCCAGGGCUCAACCCUGGAACUGCCUCAUAAACUCCUAAUCUAGAGUUCGAGAGAGGUGAGUGGAAUUCCGAGUGUAGAGGUAAAAUUCAUA
Molecule: ribosomal RNA, 618 nt
Filed under: uncultured Alphaproteobacteria bacterium
Lineage: Bacteria; Pseudomonadati; Pseudomonadota; Alphaproteobacteria
Description: bacterial SSU rRNA
Rfam family: Bacterial small subunit ribosomal RNA
Source: RNAcentral